AGCGAACGCUGGCGGCAGGCCUAACACAUGCAAGUCGAACGGGCGUAGCAAUACGUCAGUGGCAGACGGGUGAGUAACACGUGGGAACCUUCCUAGGGGUACGGAACAACUCAGGGAAACUUGAGCUAAUACCGUAUACGUCCGAGAGGAGAAAGAUUUAUCGCCCUUAGACGGGCCCGCGUCGGAUUAGGUAGUUGGUGGGGUAACGGCCUACCAAGCCGACGAUCCGUAGCUGAUCUGAGAGGAUGAUCAGCCACACUGGGACUGAGACACGGCCCAGACUCCUACGGGAGGCAGCAGUGGGGAAUCUUGGACAAUGGGCGCAAGCCUGAUCCAGCCAUGCCGCGUGAGUGAAGAAGGCCUUAGGGUUGUAAAGCUCUUUUGGCAGGGACGAUAAUGACGGUACCUGCAGAAUAAGCCCCGGCAAACUUCGUGCCAGCCGCCGCAGUAA
This 451-nucleotide ribosomal RNA is filed under the name uncultured bacterium. Its description in RNAcentral is "partial 16S ribosomal RNA". It matches the Rfam family "Bacterial small subunit ribosomal RNA", at positions 29 to 523 of the family's 1533-position model. The record is from RNAcentral.